RNAcentral lists this long non-coding RNA (648 nucleotides) under Spirodela polyrhiza (greater duckweed). RNAcentral's name for it is "long non-coding RNA (SPOL_LNC001800)". Lineage: Eukaryota; Viridiplantae; Streptophyta; Magnoliopsida; Alismatales; Araceae. The record is from RNAcentral.
AGCGCCUGAAUGGGAGUUUAAUGAAGACGUCGUUCCUAUAAGAAAUGGGGCACAGCUUCCGGAAAACCCUCAUGAAAACCAAAAGCUACAGGAGGCAAGAAGGGAGGGACGAAGGAAGACGGUGAGUGGCGUCGACCCCUGCCCAUCCUACAGGGAGGCCAGUUCAUCAGUGAAACACUGAGACACGAAUCCCCCCCUUCCCAGAAGGCGGCCUUGUCUAAUAACAAGAUCCCAAGAACCGAAGAAUGAAACGAAAAUUCGCAACCGAGGUAAGACCGGAAGAAGAUCCGACCUGCAACCCCAGACAAGGAACUCUGCAAGCGCAAGACGGCAACGCCACAGAGCGGACCCGAACACAUCGAGGUGCAAAUGCAUCCAGGAGCCGGAAGACCAAUACGAUGCCGCUCGUCUUACGUCCUACAGAGGAUUGAAGCGGCACAGGGGAGGGAAGAGGAGAGGGCGCAGAUCUCUGCUUCGGAGAUUCAUCGGAAUAUCCAAUCUACAUACAGCGGAGGAGAAGAGGGAGGUUCCUUCCGGGCAGCAGGAGAUCGAUCCUCCGGCAGCCUCCCUCUGGAGCAGCUCCGACGUCGCUCCGGCGGGCGGCCUACUAAACCCCUAGUUCCCGGGUUCUUCUCGAAUUCCUCGCUA